This is a non-coding RNA of Myotis davidii, 75 nucleotides long. Lineage: Eukaryota; Metazoa; Chordata; Mammalia; Chiroptera; Vespertilionidae. The record is from Rfam.
GGUGGUUUUCGGGUGACAUACCCCAGAAUCGGGCUACCUCCUCUCUGGUUCCAGGUUUGUCACCCGAGAACCGCU